Molecule: ribosomal RNA, 460 nt
Filed under: uncultured bacterium
Lineage: Bacteria
Description: partial 16S ribosomal RNA
Rfam family: Bacterial small subunit ribosomal RNA
Source: RNAcentral
CCUACGGGUGGCAGCAGUGAGGAAUAUUGGUCAAUGGACGAAAGUCUGAUCCAGCCAAGCAGCGUGAAUGAUGACUGCCCUAUGGGUUGUAAACUUCUUUUAUAUGGGAAUAAAAUGUUCCACGUGUGGGAUUUUGUAUGUACCAUAUGAAUAAGGAUCGGCUAACUCCGUGCCAGCAGCCGCGGUAAUACGGAGGGUCCGAGCGUUAUCCGGAUUUAUUGGGUUUAAAGGGAGCGUAGGUGGAUUGUGAAGUCAGUUGUGAAAGUUUGGGGCUCAACCGUGAAAUUGCAGUUGAAACUGUGAGUCUGGAGUACAGUAGAGGUGAGCGGAAUUCGUGGUGUAGCGGUGAAAUGCUUAGAUAUCACGAAGAACUCCGAUUGCGAAGGCAGUUCACUGGACUGCAACUGACACUGAGGCUCGAAAGUGUGGGUAGCAAACAGGAUUAGAUACCCUUGUAGUC